This 236-nucleotide ribosomal RNA is filed under the name uncultured bacterium. RNAcentral's name for it is "partial 16S ribosomal RNA". It matches the Rfam family "Bacterial small subunit ribosomal RNA", at positions 524 to 756 of the family's 1533-position model. The record is from RNAcentral.
UACGUAGGGGGCAAAGCGUUGUCCGGAUUUAUUGGGCGUAAAGAGCGUGUAGGCGGCCUGAAAGGUCAGCUGUGAAAACUCGGGGCUCAACCCCGAGACGCGGUUGAAACCAUCUGGCUAGAGUCCGGAAGAGGAGUGUGGAAUUCCCGGUGUAGCGGUGAAAUGCGCAGAUAUCGGGAAGAAACACCCGUGGCGAAGGCGGGCAACUCUGGGACGGUACUGACGCUGAGACGCGG